UUUACAAAAAAGUUUACCAAAUACUCUACUGCUUUAUUUUACAGCUGUUUAUUCUCACAGCACAGCAGAAACAACUUUUUUUCAAAGCACAGCAAUACCAAACUAGCCCUUAGAAUCUGAAAUAAAGCAGAAGUAUCCCCACUUGUUUGAGUGACUCUGCAAAUUUCGGAGGCAAAAUUUAUUUUAAAGGGGGUGGAAUGUAAAACCCCCAAAAUAUAUAUUUAGUUAUGUGGAGCUUGUAAAAGUUUAGAUGGGUUAAAGUGGGUGUGUUAAAAAAAAAAAAGAAAAAAAACAAAACUGACAUAAGGAAUGGAGAACAUGUGCGCGUAAGAUGAUCCCUUCAUCUUUAGGUGUGUUGGUGCACUGUUUCCAAAAUGGCAGAAAGGAAGAGAAACUGUCAUGGGUUCUCUUUAGGCGUCGAAGAAAGAAAAAUGUAUGGGUUAAUUUCUAGACAUCAGAAUUGCAAUCCAUUUUCGCCUCUAUGAUCACAACGUUGAGCUCUCCGAACGAAGUGCUAUUUGGUUGAAUUGAGAGUUUUUGAAGUCUCAAGGCUGGUUGAACAAUAUUAUUGAAGAAGAUAGAGGCACUUUCUUGGCUUAAGCAAGAUCAAGAGCUAAGAGCGAACAAUUGUGGAAAGAGUUAGUACUUGAAGCUUGGAAUAUCAGGUGUUGUGCGAGAAAUAGUAGAAGAGUUGGACUUAGGUGUGCGGUUGUAGCUUGUCAACCUCAAAGCUUCGAAUCAAAAAAUCAUCUUUUGAAAUAGGCCUUGCGUAUCUUAAGGACAUAGGAGCAUUGCCAUGUUCUAAGAAUGGAGCAUACAACUCUCAUGUGUUUUUAGGAUUCGCGACGCUGUCACUAGCGGCCUUGAAGACCUGACCCAAGUUGGCCUCCCCGCGCCCCUGCGUGCCGAUCCCCUUAGCCUGAGCCGAGUCGAGCCCCUGGCCCAUGCCAGUCGACCUUCUUGCCACACCACCAUCAGCCCUGUGGUGAAGAUGCCAUGUCACUCACACCCCCCUUCGGCCCCCGUCGAGCCAAUUUUUCAAGUCCCAAGACUCCCAAAAAUUCAAGAAGAAGAAAAUUCAAAUUUUUCUUACCUUGGUGCGGCACAGAGAAGAAGAACAACAGCGAGAGACGAUUCUUUGCAAGGGCAAGAGAAGAAGAAAGCUAAGGUAGGGGAAGAAAAAUUUCCUCUGCCUUAUCUUCCUUGUUGGAAUAAUGAUUACACUCCAAAUUUAUUUAAUCCCUUGCUUAAGGUAAAAUUAAAUAGGAAUUGGGGGCAAUUGGUGUCAUUUUCCUAGAAGAAGUCUAUCUCCAAAACAAAAAAGGAGAUCAAGUUCAAAUUGGGAAAUAACUCUACAAACCCAAGCAACUUGGGAUUUCUACACUACCAUCCUUUCCUGCGUGCAGCCUAGUAGGUGUAGGGGCUUUUGUAGAGCCUAAAAUAAUCCCAAAAAUUCUAGAGGCGACAGGUGAAC
Long non-coding RNA from Pyrus x bretschneideri (Chinese white pear), 1474 nucleotides. RefSeq lists it as uncharacterized. The transcript has 5 exons. The record is from RefSeq and is a predicted model, not a curated record. NCBI's taxonomy places the organism in Eukaryota, Viridiplantae, Streptophyta, Magnoliopsida, Rosales, Rosaceae.